This 301-nucleotide ribosomal RNA is filed under the name uncultured bacterium. Its description in RNAcentral is "partial 16S ribosomal RNA". It matches the Rfam family "Bacterial small subunit ribosomal RNA", at positions 509 to 807 of the family's 1533-position model. The record is from RNAcentral.
CAGUAGCCACGGGAAUACGUAGGUGGCAAGCGUUGUCCGGAAUUAUUGGGCGUAAAGGGCUCGCAGGCGGUUUCUUAAGUCUGAUGUGAAAGCCCCCGGCUCAACCGGGGAGGGUCAUUGGAAACUGGGAAACUUGAGUGCAGAAGAGGAGAGUGGAAUUCCACGUGUAGCGGUGAAAUGCGUAGAGAUGGGGAGGAACACCAGUGGCGAAGGCGACUCUCUGGUCUGUAACUGACGCUGAGGAGCGAAAGCGUGGGGAGCGAAUAGGAUUAGAUACCCCAGUAGUCCCUGUCUCUUAUAC